This 338-nucleotide small nuclear RNA is filed under the name Cebus imitator (Panamanian white-faced capuchin). RNAcentral describes it as "7SK RNA (ENSCCAG00000004457.1)". It matches the Rfam family "7SK RNA". From Rfam's summary of the family: 7SK was discovered as an abundant small nuclear RNA in the mid-70s but a possible function has only recently been suggested. Two independent studies have found that 7SK RNA binds the CDK9/cyclin T complex (known as elongation factor P-TEFb). P-TEFb activates transcription by phosphorylating the C-terminal domain of RNA polymerase II. The record is from Rfam by way of RNAcentral. Lineage: Eukaryota; Metazoa; Chordata; Mammalia; Primates; Cebidae.
AAAUAUGAGAGUAAUCUGGCUGCAACAUCUGUCACCUCAUUGAUGGCCAGGAUUGAUUCAGCUAAUCUGGAUGACUUGGCAAGUGUCUUUUUCCUGCCUCACUACUUCCAUGUGUGUCCUUUCUGAAGCUACUUGCUAGGUUGAAGAAGAUGACCUUCCCAAAUAGAGAAUCAUUCUUCACUGAAGGGUACACAAGCAGCUGUGUUCCCCUGCUAGAACCUCUAAAUAUGCUGUCAAGGAUAUAGGUCCAAGUGGUAAGACUUCAGAAGUAAAAGGCAGAAAGAAAGGAUCAAAGGGUCCUAUGAAGAGCAAUUCAGUGGAGUGUCAUUACUUUCUUU